CAACCACUCAAGCCUCGGCUUGGUCUUGGGGUUCGCGGUCUCGCGGCUCUUAAAAUCAGUGGCAGUGCCGUCUUGCUCUAAGCGUAGUAAUUCUCUCGCUAUAGAGUUCCGGUGGUUACUUGCCAAAACCCCCAAUUUUUUACA
This 144-nucleotide unclassified non-coding RNA is filed under the name uncultured Meliniomyces. RNAcentral's name for it is "sequence contains ITS2". Lineage: Eukaryota; Fungi; Ascomycota; Leotiomycetes; Helotiales; Helotiaceae. The record is from RNAcentral.